GGAUGAACGCUGGCGGUCUGCUUAACACAUGCAAGUCGAACGGACUCUUCGGAGUUAGUGGCGGACGGGUGAGUAACGCGUGAGAAUCUGCCUCUAGAACGGGGACAACAGAGGGAAACUUCUGCUAAUCCCGGAUGAGCCGAAAGGUCAAAGAUUUAUCGUCUAGAGAUGAGCUCGCGUCUGAUUAGCUAGUUGGUAAGGUAAAAGCUUACCAAGGCGACGAUCAGUAGCUGGUCUGAGAGGAUGAUCAGCCACACUGGGACUGAGACACGGCCCAGACUCCUACGGGAGGCAGCAGUGGGGAAUUUUCCGCAAUGGGCGAAAGCCUGACGGAGCAAGACCGCGUGGGGGAGGAAAGCCUUUGGGUUGUAAACCCCUUUUCUCAGGGAAGAAGAAAGUGACGGUACCUGAGGAAUCAGCCUCGGCUAACUCCGUGCCAGCAGCCGCGGUAAUACGGAGGAGGCAAGCGUUAUCCGGAAUGAUUGGGCGUAAAGCGUUCGUAGGUGGCAAUUCAAGUCUGCUGUCAAAGACAGUAGCUCAACUACUGCAAGGCAGUGGAAACUGAAUAGCUAGAGUGCGGUAGGGGCAGAGGGAAUUCCCGGUGUAGCGGUGAAAUGCGUAGAGAUCGGGAAGAACACCGGUGGCGAAAGCGCUCUGCUGGGCCGCAACUGACACUGAGGGACGAAAGCUAGGGGAGCGAAAUGGGAUUAGAUACCCCAGUAGUCCCUAGCUGUAAACGAUGGAAACUAGGUGUUGCCCUGUAUCGACCCAGGCAGUGCCGUAGCUAACGCGUUAAGUUUCCCGCCUGGGGAGUACGCACGCAAGUGUGAAACUCAAAGGAAUUGACGGGGGCCCGCACAAGCGGUGGAGUAUGUGGUUUAAUUCGAUGCAACGCGAAGAACCUUACCAGGGCUUGACAUGUCCGGAACCCCGGUGAAAGCUGGGGGUGCCUUCGGGAGCCGGAACACAGGUGGUGCAUGGCUGUCGUCAGCUCGUGUCGUGAGAUGUUGGGUUAAGUCCCGCAACGAGCGCAACCCUCGUCUUUAGUUGCCAGCAUUAAGUUGGGCACUCUAGAGAGACUGCCGGUGACAAACCGGAGGAAGGUGGGGAUGACGUCAAGUCAGCAUGCCCCUUACGCCCUGGGCUACACACGUACUACAAUGGUCGAGACAAAGGGCAGCAACUCCGCAAGGACAAGCGAAUCUCAUCAAACUCGGCCUCAGUUCAGAUUGCCGGCUGCAACUCGCCGGCAUGAAGGAGGAAUCGCUAGUAAUCGCAGGUCAGCAUACUGCGGUGAAUCCGUUCCCG
Molecule: ribosomal RNA, 1308 nt
Filed under: uncultured bacterium
Lineage: Bacteria
Description: bacterial SSU rRNA
Rfam family: Bacterial small subunit ribosomal RNA
Source: RNAcentral